This 497-nucleotide ribosomal RNA is filed under the name uncultured bacterium. Its description in RNAcentral is "partial 16S ribosomal RNA". It matches the Rfam family "Bacterial small subunit ribosomal RNA", at positions 28 to 507 of the family's 1533-position model. The record is from RNAcentral.
GAUGAACGCUGGCGGCGUGCCUAAUACAUGCAAGUCGAGCGAACAGAUAAGGAGCUUGCUCCUUUGACGUUAGCGGCGGACGGGUGAGUAACACGUGGGUAACCUACCUAUAAGACUGGGAUAACUUCGGGAAACCGGAGCUAAUACCGGAUAACAUUUGGAACCGCAUGGUUCUAAAGUGAAAGAUGGUUUUGCUAUCACUUAUAGAUGGACCCGCGCCGUAUUAGCUAGUUGGUAAGGUAACGGCUUACCAAGGCGACGAUACGUAGCCGACCUGAGAGGGUGAUCGGCCACACUGGAACUGAGACACGGUCCAGACUCCUACGGGAGGCAGCAGUAGGGAAUCUUCCGCAAUGGGCGAAAGCCUGACGGAGCAACGCCGCGUGAGUGAUGAAGGGUUUCGGCUCGUAAAACUCUGUUACUAGGGAAGAGCAAACGUGUAAGUAACUGUGCACGUCUUGACGGUACCUAAUCAGAAAGCCACGGCUAACUACGUG